Molecule: ribosomal RNA, 253 nt
Filed under: uncultured bacterium
Lineage: Bacteria
Description: partial 16S ribosomal RNA
Rfam family: Bacterial small subunit ribosomal RNA
Source: RNAcentral
UACGUAGGGACCAAGCGUUGUUCGGAUUUACUGGGCGUAAAGAGCGUGUAGGCGGUCCGGUAAGUCAGCUGUGAAAGUCAAGGGCUCAACCCUUGAAUGCCGGUUGAUACUGUCGGGCUAGAGUCCGGAAGAGGCGAGUGGAAUUCCCGGUGUAGCGGUGAAAUGCGCAGAUAUCGGGAGGAACACCUGCGGCGAAGGCGGGUUGCUGGGCUGACACUGACGCUGAGGCGCGAAAGCUAGGGGAGCGAACGGG